CUCUCUCUCUUCUCUCUCGAGCGGAAAGGCGAUAGAAGAGACGAUUCGUUUGAAAAUCUGGAAACUCAACCAAUUCACAUCGAAUCCGUUGUGUGAAACCGAUUUGUUUUCGGAUUUCCGACCGCGACAACAACGGCGAAUUGAUGUUUGUUGAUGUGUACUUGAAACCAACGACGAAGACGGUGAAGCUCCUGGUUAAUUCCCGUCAGACCGACUACUUCGAGAAGCAGAGGUUCGGUGACUCUUCUUCUUCUUCUUCGCCUUCAUACUCCUCGCAAAACGGAGAUCCGGCUGGGAGAAGUGGAUGUAAUUAGAUCUUUAUUCGAAAGAGCCAUUAGCUUGAGCUUGCCUCCUAAGAAGAUGAAGAGCUAGUAAGCAGAACAGCUAAGGCUGUCACGAGCUUUGCUCCUCCAUGGGUCAUCUUAAGACAUGCUUUCCGGUCAGUAAGCAGAACAUGCUAUGGCUGUCUUAUAUUGUUCAUGUUGUUGGGUUAGAAAGAUUGUAGAGAUGAGAUUGACGACAAACACCUAUCGUUGUUGGGUUACAAUCGUUGUUAAGUUACAACCCCAUGGAUGACCCUGCCAAGGGAGCAGCCAACUUCACCUCUCAGCUUAUCAUCAUGAACCACCCUGGUCAGAUUGGAAACGUUACGCUCCAGUCCUCUAUUGCCACACCUCU
This is a non-coding RNA of Camelina sativa (false flax), 678 nucleotides long. The record is from RefSeq and is a predicted model, not a curated record. Lineage: Eukaryota; Viridiplantae; Streptophyta; Magnoliopsida; Brassicales; Brassicaceae.